CAGCAUAUUGCCUAAGCAGCAUAGUUAACAAUGGGUGAGAUAAACAGCUAAAAGCUAUAAUCAGUAAUUGCAAAAAGGAGAAAACUUUAGUACCUAGAUACUUAAUCAUCAACGGCUGUUUGCUGGUUUCAAUCUCUGUUUGUUUUGUUCUAUAUAUAUCUAUGUCCAUUAGAGAUAUGAUAUUUUUCAACCACUGGAUGGUAUUACCAAAAUUAGUUUCUAAAAGAGCUCUAUAUAAUUGGCUUAAGGAUUCCUGACAGCCUAACCAGGUGAUUAAAGAAGGUCAUCUCCUGCCUGGUGCAGAAACCUCAAGAUAUGUUGGGAGUCUCAAGAAGAGAGGCAUUCACCCAAAUCUAUAGGUAUUACAGGCAGAGUGUGAUGAAUCAUUGAGAACUAAAGCUUCCUUUUCCUGGAAGCCCUGUGAGCUGAAGCUGAACAAGUUGAUAUAAACUUAAGAGCGAUCACCACAAUAGCCUGUGUUUAGAGAAUCUCCAUGCCUGUUUCUGUUGCUGGCCCACAGUAGAUGUUCAGUAAAGAUGAGUCAAAGGGACUAAUGAAGGAAGAAUACUGCACAACAGACAUGUUGGUGAAAUUGGUGGAGGAGGUAGAACUGGGAGCUACCAAACGGUGGAAUCAGGAUCCCAAAAGACCUCGAGAGCCACGCCUGAAGCUAAUAUUACAAGCAUUACGAUUUUACAUCAAGUUGGGAAGUACCCAAAAGCUGAAUCCGAGUCCGUACAGAUUUUUCCAGAAGCCAGAGGACACCCCAGGGUGAGGAUCAUCUCCACCCGCUCUGUCUCAGGCACAGAAGGAAAAUGACGUGUCUCCGCGGGGUGCGAAGAGCAAGCUGCGCCGCUGGGAGCCCGCGGUCCCCUGCUCCAUCAGCCGGGCGCCUCUGGGUCAGUCAUUGUGGUGAAGCUGGGACCCGGCUUCCAGUGGGGCUACACUGCAUGGCCCCAGGCUAAUUCGGUACAGGUGCUGUGCCGCUGCGUUGGGGCCCCCUCCCUGCAGGCUCUGACGGGCCACCACCUCGUCCUCCCCAGGGCUUCUCCCAUGCCUUGGCGGAAUGGCUUUGUGCCCCAACAAUGUGUAAAUGCCGAUGCUAUUUAACCCUUUGAAACUCUAAUUUUAUAAACAUAAUUCAUCUUAUCAAUCAUGCUAUUAUACAAUGUUUAUAAUAGAUCUAUUUUCUCUAUCUUCAUUGAGCAUCAUAAAGAUAUGUACGUUUCUAUGGACAAGAAUACACAGGCCAAAACCACAUGAGCAUGUACUUUACUUUUCCUUUAUUUCUAAAUUUAAAAUUCUUUGUUUGGAAAAUUUUCAGAUACAUCAAGUUUACUCCCUAACUACCUCAGUUGAGACUUAAAGGUCUCAAGUCA
Molecule: long non-coding RNA, 1379 nt
Filed under: Equus asinus (donkey)
Lineage: Eukaryota; Metazoa; Chordata; Mammalia; Perissodactyla; Equidae
Description: lncRNA (ENSEASG00005025780.1)
Source: RNAcentral